Molecule: ribosomal RNA, 253 nt
Filed under: uncultured bacterium
Lineage: Bacteria
Description: partial 16S ribosomal RNA
Rfam family: Bacterial small subunit ribosomal RNA
Source: RNAcentral
UACGUAGGUGGCAAGCGUUGUCCGGAUUUAUUGGGUUUAAAGGGUGCGUAGGCGGUCUUUUAAGUCAGUGCUGAAAUAUCCCGGCUUAACCGGGAGGGUGGCAUUGAUACUGAAGGACUUGAGUUCAGUCGAGGUAGGCGGAAUUGACGGUGUAGCGGUGAAAUGCUUAGAUAUCGUCAAGAACACCGAUAGUGUAGACAGCUUACUAGGCUGAAACUGGCGCUGAGGCACGAAAGUGUGGGGAUCAAACAGG